CUUUGGGUAAGUGGGCCUUGAGUGACUUCUCGGGAAACAAAGAGAAGGCAUUUCUAUUGGCUGUUAAGGAGCUGGAAAUACAUGGAGUUAAAGUAGGAAGUACAUGAAACUAGCUGCCAUUGGGCUCUACAAUCAUAUGGACCAGAAGGCAAUCUGCUUUACGAUCAGACGUGCCUCUGAAGAACAGAGGAUGAAGAGAAAGCAGCGGAGGAGGGCCACCCCGUGGUCUGAGGCAGCUUAAUAAAGAAACCUCUUUCCUGCCUUGAGGGACCAUCCCUGCAGCACCCAGCAAACACAGACACCCACUAUGUUCAAGGCUCUAGGGUGACAUGUGGCCCUUGGUGACUUGAAACCUCCAUCUAGUUAGAAAACAAAAUCCAGCAACCCAUAGACCACCUGAGGGCCAAACUGAUGCUGGGGGAGAUGGAGCAGCUUCUUCCGUCAGAGGAGCCGUCAAGCUGCGCCAUGCCAGGGCACCAUCUGCUGCAAGAUUGCAUCCCCUCUAAGCGGCAUGAGAGCCACAGCAGGGUGGGCACAAAUCCUCCUUCUCUUCACACCCCCACGCUGAUAAUGAGCUCACAAGCUGCAUAUGGAGCAGGUCAGGAAAGAGAGCAAACUUGCCUACCUCCCAAGCAAUGUUAAAAAAUGACAUCCGUUCCAGAUUAGGAGCACAUUCGCAUGCAUCCACUUCUGGAUAGUCUAAUACAUCUUUAUUAAUCUCAAAAUACGUCUUUUUAGUCAAUAAUAUUCUUUUAAUUAACCAUUAAAGAUAAUCUAUUAUUAAAUGGUUAAUUUUGCUUCUCUUAGAUAAAGACCAGAGAAUUCAAGUACAAACUUGCCCAUUCUGUUGACAGUAGUGAGAACUGACUGUGUGAAUUGAACAAUGCUUGCCCUGCACAGAAUGGAGAAGAAAGCAAAAUUUUGUUCUUCUGGGAACAUUUAAAAAAAUACAUUGAUACCUAACUUAAAUAAUUGAAUACAUAUCAUAAACAUACAAAUUACAACAUUAAAAAAUACUUACUACAAAAAGAUCCUGAACAUUAUUGGUUAAUGCAAAUAAAAUUUCUUCACAUUAUUAUAACAGUCAAAAUAUUUUCCAACUAUUUGUGCUUUAAAAACUAUUGCUAGUUCCUCUGGGAAAAGCCAAAAUAACUGUAUAUUGUAAAAAAAUGUUUUUGCACUUUUGACCCAAAUGCACACAUCAACACAAGAAGAGGCACAAUAACAUCUAAUAAUUGUUUUAAAUUUCCCUGAAAUUAAAAAAAAAAUCUAUGUAUUCAAUAAAAUACAUUUCUAUGGUAAUUGCUAAUUUUAUGUUUUCAUGAGUGCACAAAAGAACUCUUCUUUCUUGGUCACUGUGAAAGCAAACACUAGAUGUCUAGGAAUAUAUAUAUGUGUGUGUGUAUAUUUACAUACAUAUAUAUUUAA
Long non-coding RNA from Callithrix jacchus (white-tufted-ear marmoset), 1428 nucleotides. RefSeq lists it as uncharacterized. NCBI's taxonomy places the organism in Eukaryota, Metazoa, Chordata, Mammalia, Primates, Cebidae. The record is from RefSeq and is a predicted model, not a curated record.